AAGUCGUAACAAGGUUUCCGUAGGUGAACCUGCGGAAGGAUCAUUAACACGUAUCCAACGUUAAACCCCCCGUGCACCUUCACACGACGUCAGCAAUCCUGGUAAAUCAGUGGCGAAAGUAGUCUUUGAUUCAGGACCUCUGAAGUUGUAAGCAGGCAGUUUGAGCCUUCUAUCGCCAGUCUGGAGUCCUGGCCGGGCGGAUGAAAGUGUCGCUAGACGGUUUCUAGGGUAAGGCUUCUCCAUCGCCGGUGUAUCACACGCCGAAGCGGACAGACUGCAGGGUGUAGUGCCCCUUUACGACGACCAAGUUAAAUUAGGCCUCUACCACAUAGCAAGUGCGCCGUGGUAGAGGAAAACGUACAACUGUUAACAAUGGAUAUCUUGGUUCUC
Molecule: unclassified non-coding RNA, 390 nt
Filed under: fungal sp.
Lineage: Eukaryota; Fungi
Description: partial internal transcribed spacer region
Rfam family: Eukaryotic small subunit ribosomal RNA (bases 1-46)
Source: RNAcentral